RNAcentral lists this ribosomal RNA (446 nucleotides) under uncultured bacterium. RNAcentral describes it as "SSU rRNA". It matches the Rfam family "Bacterial small subunit ribosomal RNA", at positions 26 to 518 of the family's 1533-position model. The record is from RNAcentral.
AGAGCGAACGCUGGCGGCAGGCUUAACACAUGCAAGUCGAACGGAUCCUUCGGGAUUAGUGGCGGACGGGUGAGUAACACGUGGGAACGUGCCUUUUGGUUCGGAACAACACAGGGAAACUUGUGCUAAUACCGAAUGUGCCCUUCGGGGGAAAGAUUUAUCGCCAUUAGAGCGGCCCGCGUCUGAUUAGCUAGUUGGUGAGGUAAAGGCUCACCAAGGCUACGAUCAGUAGCUGGUCUGAGAGGAUGAUCAGCCACAUUGGGACUGAGACACGGCCCAAACUCCUACGGGAGGCAGCAGUGGGGAAUCUUGCGCAAUGGGGGAAACCCUGACGCAGCCAUGCCGCGUGAAUGAUGAAGGUCUUAGGAUUGUAAAAUUCUUUCAGCGGGGACGAUAAUGACGGUACCCGCAGAAGAAGCUCCGGCUAACUUCGUGCCAGCAGCCGC